Molecule: non-coding RNA, 593 nt
Organism: Alexandromys fortis (reed vole)
Lineage: Eukaryota; Metazoa; Chordata; Mammalia; Rodentia; Cricetidae
Source: the annotation of a RefSeq genome assembly
CCAGUCUCUAGCAGAGCAUGGCUGUCCUGGUGCUGCUCCUCUGCCUGGUCACCUUUCCAAGUGUCCUGUCCCAGGUGCAGCUGAAGGAGUCAGGACCUGGCCUGGUGCAACCCUCACAGACCCUGUCUCUCACCUGCACUGUCUCUGGGUUCUCAUUAACUGAUUAUGAUAUUAGCUGGGUUCGCCAGUCUCCAGGAAAGGGUCUGGAGUGGAUGGGAGGAAUAUGGUAUAAUGGAAACACAGAGUAUAAUUCAGCUUUCCAGCCCCGAAUCACCAUCAGCAGGGACACCUCCAAGAACCAAGUUUUCUUAAAAUUGAACAGUCUGCAAAGUGAGGACACAGCCACGUACUACUGUACCAAAGACACAAUGAGGAAACUUCUAGACUCAGAUAACAAGAAUCCACGGCCACUGACCCACACCAUGGAACAAGCAAAAGACAAGGACAAGAACACUCUGUACCUGGAAAUAGGCAGUGUGAAGUCUGAGGACACAGCCAUGUAUUACCGUGCAAAGUACACAGUUAGUGAAUGCUACUAUGAGCUCAGAUGCAAACCUCCCUGCAAGUUCCUAAUGAUCAGCAGGAUGCACUAA